Long non-coding RNA from Ictalurus punctatus (channel catfish), 574 nucleotides. NCBI's taxonomy places the organism in Eukaryota, Metazoa, Chordata, Actinopteri, Siluriformes, Ictaluridae. The record is from Ensembl.
CAGCUACAGUCAACAUCUCUGUCAGACCACCAACAUACAAACAAACACUUGAGGCAACUUAGCAAACUUUAGCUAGCAUUUUAGCAGAGGUUCACAACUGAGGCAUGGGCCACAGCACAAAACUCCGCAUUUGAACAGUCAAUAGCAGAUACUUCAUAUAAUAAUCAAACACACUUACAGGUUCUGUUUCAGAAGCAUAAGAUUAUCUGAGCAAAGAGGAAAUCCGGACACAAAACUCCGCAUUUGAACAGUCAAUAGCAGAUACUUCAUAUAAUAAUCAAACACACUUACAGGUUCUGUUUCAGAAGCAUAAGAUUAUCUGAGCAAAGAGGAAAUCCGGAGUAGUCUUUGUGUGUAGUCUGCGUUACACUCACCCAGGUUCAGGAAGCUGUCCUCUGUAAAAUGCGCUGUGCACAAGAAAAUUUUUGGUUUGUACUGCUCAGGAACAGCGUCAUCAAUAAACAGUAACCACUCAUUCCUAAUUCAAUCUGUUUCCAGAAGGCAAAACAAAAUGGUUUUGCUUUCUCACUGAAACACACUCCAUGACAUGGUGCCUGAAUUCACUGAAGCCUCG